AUUAAGAAGUUUUAAAAAAUCAACAUCAGUGACUAAGAUGUAUCUAAAAUCCUGGAAGACAGAGAGUGUGUCUAUUUUCUGUGUACACCCUACAUGGUAAUUACAACAUGGACCAGCUCUGCAGACAACAACAUGGGCAAGAACCAACUAUAUGAGAAGUCAAAAGACAAAGCACCAACUGGGAGAAAAUGCCUGCAACGUACUUGCUGGAGGAAGACAUUCAAGGGGUGACUUGCAUCUCGAGGAUUUGUGAGCUUGUUUCGCAGAAGAAAGAGAAGGCCUUCGGGGAGGCUGUGCUCUGGCCCUCAGCAGCCUUGAAGGCCAGAAGUCAGACUGCCCAGGGGCUUAUUGGGAGGGACCCUUUGUUUCUCUGAAGCUCCUCCUACCGAGCCCCUUAGCUCGAUAAACCCUCCUGCUUUCUGCUCUCGGGAUGGUGGAUUUGACUGAACCCAUGCUCCCACCUUCUCGUUUGGCCAAUUCAAAUAAACCUUUCUCAG
Molecule: long non-coding RNA, 497 nt
Organism: Equus quagga
Lineage: Eukaryota; Metazoa; Chordata; Mammalia; Perissodactyla; Equidae
Exons: 3
Source: RefSeq, a predicted model, not a curated record